Non-coding RNA from Pelobates cultripes (western spadefoot toad), 334 nucleotides. NCBI's taxonomy places the organism in Eukaryota, Metazoa, Chordata, Amphibia, Anura, Pelobatidae. The record is from the annotation of a GenBank genome assembly.
CCUGGCGGUGGAACACUCGUACAGGUUAUGUUUAUUUCCACCGUGGAAUCGCGAAAUGCAGGACAUGCGUAAUGCGAUUUAAAAUUCAGGUGCCAAUAUCUUUAUUUUUUCUCUCUGGGGUCAAGAUGUUGGCUUCCAGGACUUAGAGAGGCUGUUUACCCAGCAGCAACUAACUGUUGCCAGGUGCACUCAGAAUCUGUUGCAAGUGUGUUCUCACAAACCUCCAACACACUCUGAGGACAUUUAAGGUAAGCCUUUUUGCUUUUAUCUUAAAUGACUCUAGCCUGAAUAAGUUAAUUAUCUGUGCUGCAAGAUGGAUAAGCUAAAAAAGUGC